This 107-nucleotide small nuclear RNA is filed under the name Dasypus novemcinctus (nine-banded armadillo). Lineage: Eukaryota; Metazoa; Chordata; Mammalia; Cingulata; Dasypodidae. The record is from RNAcentral.
GUGCUUGCUUCGGCAGCACAUAUACUAAAAUUGGAACGAUACAGAGAAGAUUAGCAUGGCCCCUGCACAAGGAUGACAUGCAAAUUUGUGAAGCAUUCCAUAUUUUU